UUAAGUUAGAAAGGGCGCACGGUGGAUGCCUUGACACUAGGAGUCGAUGAAGGACGGGACUAACGCCGAUAUGCUUCGGGGAGCUGUAAGUAAGCUUUGAUCCGAAGAUUUCCGAAUGGGGAAACCCACCAUACGUAAUGGUAUGGUAUCCUUAUCUGAAUACAUAGGGUAAGGAAGACAGACCCAGGGAACUGAAACAUCUAAGUACCUGGAGGAAGAGAAAGCAAAUGCGAUUUCCUGAGUAGCGGCGAGCGAAACGGAACAUAGCCCAAACCAAGAGGCUUGCCUCUUGGGGUUGUAGGACAUUCUAUACGGAGUUACAAAGGAACGAGGUAGACGAAGCGACCUGGAAAGGUCCGUCGUAGAGGGUAACAACCCCGUAGUCGAAACUUCGUUCUCUCUUGAAUGUAUCCUGAGUACGGCGGAACACGUGAAAUUCCGUCGGAAUCUGGGAGGACCAUCUCCCAAGGCUAAAUACUCCCUAGUGAUCGAUAGUGAACCAGUACCGUGAGGGAAAGGUGAAAAGCACCCCGGAAGGGGAGUGAAAGAGAUCCUGAAACCGUGUGCCUACAAAUAGUCAGAGCCCGUUAACGGGUGAUGGCGUGCCUUUUGUAGAAUGAACCGGCGAGUUACGAUCCCGUGCGAGGUUAAGCUGAAGAGGCGGAGCCGCAGCGAAAGCGAGUCUGAAUAGGGCGUUUAGUACGUGGUCGUAGACCCGAAACCAGGUGAUCUACCCAUGUCCAGGGUGAAGUUCAGGUAACACUGAAUGGAGGCCCGAACCCACGCACGUUGAAAAGUGCGGGGAUGAGGUGUGGGUAGCGGAGAAAUUCCAAUCGAACCUGGAGAUAGCUGGUUCUCCCCGAAAUAGCUUUAGGGCUAGCCUUAAGUGUAAGAGUCUUGGAGGUAGAGCACUGAUUGGACUAGGGGUCCUCAUCGGAUUACCGAAUUCAGUCAAACUCCGAAUGCCAAUGACUUAUCCUUAGGAGUCAGACUGCGAGUGAUAAGAUCCGUAGUCAAAAGGGAAACAGCCCAGACCGCCAGCUAAGGUCCCAAAGUGUGUAUUAAGUGGAAAAGGAUGUGGAGUUGCUUAGACAACUAGGAUGUUGGCUUAGAAGCAGCCACCAUUUAAAGAGUGCGUAAUAGCUCACUAGUCGAGUGACUCUGCGCCGAAAAUGUACCGGGGCUAAAUACACCACCGAAGCUGCGGAUUGAUACCAAUGGUAUCAGUGGUAGGGGAGCGUUCUAAGGACAGUGAAGUCAGACCGGAAGGACUGGUGGAGUGCUUAGAAGUGAGAAUGCCGGUAUGAGUAGCGAAAGACGGGUGAGAAUCCCGUCCACCGAAUGCCUAAGGUUUCCUGAGGAAGGCUCGUCCGCUCAGGGUUAGUCAGGACCUAAGCCGAGGCCGACAGGCGUAGGCGAUGGACAACAGGUUGAUAUUCCUGUACCACCUCUUUAUCGUUUGAGCAAUGGAGGGACGCAGAAGGAUAGAAGAAGCGUGCGAUUGGUUGUGCACGUCCAAGCAGUUAGGCUGAUAAGUAGGCAAAUCCGCUUAUCGUGAAGGCUGAGCUGUGAUGGGGAAGCUCCUUAUGGAGCGAAGUCUUUGAUUCCCCGCUGCCAAGAAAAGCUUCUAGCGAGAUAAAAGGUGCCUGUACCGCAAACCGACACAGGUAGGCGAGGAGAGAAUCCUAAGGUGUGCGAGAGAACUCUGGUUAAGGAACUCGGCAAAAUGACCCCGUAACUUCGGGAGAAGGGGUGCUUUCUUAACGGAAAGCCGCAGUGAAUAGGCCCAAGCGACUGUUUAGCAAAAACACAGCUCUCUGCGAAGCCGUAAGGCGAAGUAUAGGGGGUGACACCUGCCCGGUGCUGGAAGGUUAAGGAGAGGGGUUAGCGUAAGCGAAGCUCUGAACUGAAGCCCCAGUAAACGGCGGCCGUAACUAUAACGGUCCUAAGGUAGCGAAAUUCCUUGUCGGGUAAGUUCCGACCCGCACGAAAGGUGUAACGAUUUGGGCACUGUCUCAACCAGAGACUCGGUGAAAUUAUAGUACCUGUGAAGAUGCAGGUUACCCGCGACAGGACGGAAAGACCCCGUGGAGCUUUACUGUAGCCUGAUAUUGAAUUUUGGUACAGUUUGUACAGGAUAGGCGGGAGCCUUUGAAACCGGAGCGCUAGCUUCGGUGGAGGCGCUGGUGGGAUACCGCCCUGACUGUAUUGAAAUUCUAACCUACGGGUCUUAUCGACCCGGGAGACAGUGUCAGGUGGGCAGUUUGACUGGGGCGGUCGCCUCCUAAAGUGUAACGGAGGCGCCCAAAGGUUCCCUCAGAAUGGUUGGAAAUCAUUCGUAGAGUGCAAAGGCAUAAGGGAGCUUGACUGCGAGACCUACAAGUCGAGCAGGGACGAAAGUCGGGCUUAGUGAUCCGGUGGUUCCGCAUGGAAGGGCCAUCGCUCAACGGAUAAAAGCUACCCCGGGGAUAACAGGCUUAUCUCCCCCAAGAGUCCACAUCGACGGGGAGGUUUGGCACCUCGAUGUCGGCUCAUCGCAUCCUGGGGCUGUAGUCGGUCCCAAGGGUUGGGCUGUUCGCCCAUUAAAGCGGUACGCGAGCUGGGUUCAGAACGUCGUGAGACAGUUCGGUCCCUAUCCGUCGUGGGCGUAGGAAAUUUGAGAGGAGCUGUCCUUAGUACGAGAGGACCGGGAUGGACGCACCGCUGGUGUACCAGUUGUUCUGCCAAGGGCAUAGCUGGGUAGCUAUGUGCGGAAGGGAUAAGUGCUGAAAGCAUCUAAGCAUGAAGCCCCCCUCAAGAUGAGAUUUCCCAUAGCGUAAGCUAGUAAGAUCCCUGAAAGAUGAUCAGGUUGAUAGGUUCGAGGUGGAAGCAUGGUG
Molecule: ribosomal RNA, 2876 nt
Filed under: Bacillus anthracis (anthrax bacterium)
Lineage: Bacteria; Bacillati; Bacillota; Bacilli; Caryophanales; Bacillaceae
Description: bacterial LSU rRNA
Rfam family: Bacterial large subunit ribosomal RNA
Source: RNAcentral